UACGUAGGGGGCGAGCGUUGUCCGGAUUUAUUGGGCGUAAAGAGCUCGUAGGCGGCUUGGCAAGUCGGGUGUGAAAACUUCAGGCUCAACCUGGAGCGGCCACUCGAUACUGCCAUGGCUUGAGUCCGGUAGGGGACCACGGAAUUCCUGGUGUAGCGGUGAAAUGCGCAGAUAUCAGGAGGAACACCAGUGGCGAAGGCGGUGGUCUGGGCCGGAACUGACGCUGAGGAGCGAAAGCGUGGGUAGCAAACAGG
This 254-nucleotide ribosomal RNA is filed under the name uncultured bacterium. RNAcentral's name for it is "partial 16S ribosomal RNA". It matches the Rfam family "Bacterial small subunit ribosomal RNA", at positions 524 to 776 of the family's 1533-position model. The record is from RNAcentral.